RNAcentral lists this ribosomal RNA (253 nucleotides) under uncultured bacterium. RNAcentral's name for it is "partial 16S ribosomal RNA". It matches the Rfam family "Bacterial small subunit ribosomal RNA", at positions 524 to 776 of the family's 1533-position model. The record is from RNAcentral.
UACGGGGGGGGCAAGCGUUGUUCGGAAUUACUGGGCGUAAAGCGUGCGUAGACGGUUGCGUAAGUCAGAUGUGAAAGCCCCGGGCUCAACCUGGGAAUUGCAUUUGAGACUGCGUAGCUAGGGUGCGGAAGAGGGAAGCGGAAUUUCCGGUGUAGCGGUGAAAUGCGCAGAUAUCGGGAGGAACACCUAUGGCGAAGGCAGCUCGCUGGGACGUUACUGACGCUGAGACGCGAAAGCGUGGGGAGCAAACAGG